This 25-nucleotide non-coding RNA is filed under the name Cricetulus griseus (Chinese hamster). The record is from RNAcentral. Lineage: Eukaryota; Metazoa; Chordata; Mammalia; Rodentia; Cricetidae.
AUCUUGGUAAGGGGUAGUAGUUGAG